Aethalodelphis obliquidens (Pacific white-sided dolphin) is the source of this 693-nucleotide long non-coding RNA. RefSeq lists it as uncharacterized. NCBI's taxonomy places the organism in Eukaryota, Metazoa, Chordata, Mammalia, Artiodactyla, Delphinidae. The record is from RefSeq and is a predicted model, not a curated record. The transcript is spliced from 2 exons.
GUUCCACCCAUCACCUCCACCUUCCGCCCUGUGCCGGCUUUCUGUGCUACAAUCGCUGUGUCCCGUCUUCGCGCUGCCCUUGCGGCGCCCGAGCCCACAAUGUCGGGCCCCAACGGGGACCUGGGCAUGCCGGUGGAGGCGGGCCCGGAAGGCGAGGACGACGGCUUCGAGGAAGCAGCCCAGUCUAACCAUGAGGAAAACACCCUACAAAUCCCGAGAGGUACGUUCUGCACAAUACCUGAGCAGCGCUUCUCCAGACUGUCAAGGUCAUCAGAACCAAGGAAAAUCUGAGAAACUGUCAAAGCCGAAAGAAACCUAAAGGGACGUGACAAUGUAUGUAUAUGCAUAGCUGAUUCACUUUGUUGUGAAGCAGAAACUAACACACCAUUGUAAAACAGUUAUACUCCAACAAAGAUGUUAAAAAAAAAAAGAGAGACGUGACAACUAAAUGUAAUGUGGGAUCUUGGAACAGGAAAAAGGGCAUUAUGUACAAACCAAGGAAAUCUGAAUAAAGCAUGGACUUUGGUUAAUAAAGUAUCAUUGAUGGUUUGUUAAUUGUAACAAAUGUAUCAAACUAAUAUAAGAUGUUAAUAAUACAGGAAACUGAGUGCAGGGUAUAUGGGAGCUCUUUUCACAAUUUUUCUGUAACUAAAACUAUUUUAAAAUUAAACGUUUAUUUUUAAAAACUUGUCA